RNAcentral lists this ribosomal RNA (493 nucleotides) under uncultured bacterium. Its description in RNAcentral is "partial 16S ribosomal RNA". It matches the Rfam family "Bacterial small subunit ribosomal RNA", at positions 28 to 507 of the family's 1533-position model. The record is from RNAcentral.
GACGAACGCUGGCGGCGUGCUUAACACAUGCAAGUCGAACGGUGAAGGGACCGGUUUUUGCUGGUUCUGGAUGAGUGGCGAACGGGUGAGUAACACGUGAGUAACCUGCCCCCUUCUUCUGGAUAACCGCAUGAAAGUGUGGCUAAUACGGGAUAUUCUGCGCCUGCUGCAUGGUGGGUGUGGGAAAGAUAUUGGUUCGGUGGGGGAUGGGCUCGCGGCCUAUCAGCUUGUUGGUGGGGUGAUGGCCUACCAAGGCGGUGACGGGUAGCCGGCCUGGGAGGGUGGGCGGUCCUGCUGGGACUGAGACGCGGCCCCGACUCCUACGGGAGGCAGCAGUGGGGAAUGUUGCACAGUGGGAGGAAGCCUGAUGCCGCGCCGCCGCGUGGGGGAUGGAGGCCUUCGGGUUGUAAACCUCUUUCGCCAGUGAAGCAGGCCUGUCCCUUUUGUGGGUGGGUUGACGGUAGCUGGAUAAGAAGCGCCGGCUAACUACGUG